GACGCUUCACAUUCUGUGAUAGUUGAUGCUGUAAAAGUUUCCAUAUUAUAGACUAGGUUCGAGGGACAAUGACUUGUAUGAGAUACUCGGUAGAUGGUUUUCACCAUAAAAACCAGGGAAAGCUUCUUGUUGUGAUGAUUUGUGUGGUGUUGCUAUCAAGCUCUUGUCAGGUCAUGCACUGGAGCACCCUUUUGAAGUUCUUUUCAAUGCAUGUCUUUUGUAGUAUGGCUUUUUACUUUGCUUUGCCUUUUUUUCAUAGUUAGUUAGAACAACCAGUUCUGUUUGGUGCCAUGCAGAGAAAGCCACUGUGAAAAAUCUAUUGCUUGAUGUCUACCUUGUUUAAUACAUAAUUCAAGAAAUGUUCAAAGCUUAAACAUAUUUUUACAGGUGUCAAAAACUAUUGACUUUGAAGUAACUCGUGGUCUUACAAAUGCACUGCUCGCUGCCAAGAAACCUGGCGAGGUUGGUUGACCUACUAAUGUAAAAUGCAUAAACAUGUUACUUGCAGUCUUCUUGCAGCAGUUGUACUUGCAGUCUUCUCUCGUGUCACUAUUUCCUUCACUUUCCUAAUAGUAUUAAUAAUUAUAUGCUUAUUAUAAUAUUGUAGCUUUGUUUUACUUAUACUUUCAUUCUUGUUUGAUAUAUUUAUUUAUUCAUUUAUUUGCCCCAUUAGGAAAUUCAUGACAAACUAUAUAGCAUGAGAAAAUACCAUAUGCCUGUCGUAAUCAAAAGUUUAUAUAAAUAUUAUUUAAUUAUUUAAACAGAUAUUAGCAAACUCUAGAAUUGUAAAUUACUUAAUAUCUAAAAGUACAUACCAAAUAAACUAAGUGACUAGUAUUUUUAUUUAUGCUUUUAUCAUGCAUAGUUGAUUAAACAUUAUGUUACUAAGAUCUGCAUUCUGUUUCUAUUAAUAAUUAAUUAUGUAUAAGUUGUAGAUGUAUUACUUUAAAUACUAUGUGAAGUAUUCUAUAUGCAUAGCUAAUAUAUACUUUGUUACAACGUGGACUUUGUGAGCAUUAUUACUUCAUAUUAGAAAAAGUGAAAAAGAUACAAAUAAAUAAAGAAUAAGUUUGACAAGAUCAAUAUAAUAUUUAGAUAAUAAUAGCAUAGGGGAGAGAUUACUUGGUCACAUGAGAGAAGAGAGAAAAAUUAAAUACAAAAAGAAAAGGGAGAAAAAAGAAAUACAAAUAUUGUUGACAUUGAUGUGGCACUUUUGUCCUAAACAAGUAUCUGACUGCACAGCUGCAAUUGUUGUGAAAUAGAUUCCUUCUUGCAUCUGUUCAACUCUGUCUUGCCUCAGAAACUGGUUAUCUAGACGAUAUGAAUCAGUCAGCAGGACAGUUUAGUGACAUCAAUGAUGACUGUGGGUCAUUGCUGAUGUUGCAAGUUUCACAAGUUAUAACAAUAACUGACUGAGUCGAAUACAAUUUUGGCAGUGACCUGCAGUGUACAUUUUUGCGGAGUAGGUAUUUUUCUUGCCCUUGCGUCUUGAAUGGCAGUGCUAUACUUUCCUUCUGCUCAAUGCAGGCUGUCCAAAUGCUUCUUCCAAUUCGUGAGAUGCUGAAUAAUGAGAAAAAUGUUCACAAUAAUUUUGAGGCAGAGAGCAGCAUAGUGGAGAAAAGCUCUCAAUUGGAUCCCAUUCAAGUAAGCAUCUUUCUCUACCUAUGAUGUGCGGUAUACUAAUCAGUUGGUGUACUAUUUUUUCAGACAUGCCUUGCGAGGUUGGUUGACCUACUAAUGUAAAAUGCAUAAACAUGUUACUUGCAGUCUUCUUGCAGCAGUUGUACUUGCAGUCUUCUCUCGUGUCACUAUUUCCUUCACUUUCCUAAUAGUAUUAAUAAUUAUAUGCUUAUUAUAAUAUUGUAGCUUUGUUUUACUUAUACUUUCAUUCUUGUUUGAUAUAUUUAUUUAUUCAUUUAUUUGCCCCAUUAGGAAAUUCAUGACAAACUAUAUAGCAUGAGAAAAUACCAUAUGCCUGUCGUAAUCAAAAGUUUAUAUAAAUAUUAUUUAAUUAUUUAAACAGAUAUUAGCAAACUCUAGAAUUGUAAAUUACUUAAUAUCUAAAAGUACAUACCAAAUAAACUAAGUGACUAGUAUUUUUAUUUAUGCUUUUAUCAUGCAUAGUUGAUUAAACAUUAUGUUACUAAGAUCUGCAUUCUGUUUCUAUUAAUAAUUAAUUAUGUAUAAGUUGUAGAUGUAUUACUUUAAAUACUAUGUGAAGUAUUCUAUAUGCAUAGCUAAUAUAUACUUUGUUACAACGUGGACUUUGUGAGCAUUAUUACUUCAUAUUAGAAAAAGUGAAAAAAGAUACAAAUAAAUAAAGAAU
RNAcentral lists this long non-coding RNA (2326 nucleotides) under Coffea arabica (coffee). RNAcentral's name for it is "long non-coding RNA (CARA_LNC002711)". The record is from RNAcentral. Lineage: Eukaryota; Viridiplantae; Streptophyta; Magnoliopsida; Gentianales; Rubiaceae.